RNAcentral lists this ribosomal RNA (637 nucleotides) under Corallinales sp. ARS-2011. RNAcentral describes it as "eukaryotic LSU rRNA". It matches the Rfam family "Eukaryotic large subunit ribosomal RNA", at positions 1264 to 1919 of the family's 3401-position model. Lineage: Eukaryota; Rhodophyta; Florideophyceae; Corallinales. The record is from RNAcentral.
GAAUCCGCCAAGGAGUGUGUAACAACUCACCUGCCGAAUGAACUAGCCCUGAAAAUGGAUGACGCUUAAGCGGACAGCCGACACCGCGCCGUUUGGGUAAGAAGCGACCUAAAUGAGUAGGAGGGCGUGGCGGUCUUGUGAGGAAGGUCGAGACGCGAGUCUGACUGAAACGGCCGCUAGUGCAGAUCUUGGUGGUAGUAGCAAAUAUUCAAGCGGGAUCCUUGAAGGGCGAAGCGGGGAAGGGUUCCACGCGAACAUUGAUUGGGCGUGGGUGAGUCGUUCCUAAGCCGGGUGGUAAUCGUUCUUCGAAGCGGCGAAAGGGAAGCGGGUUAAAAUUCCUGCACACGGAUGUGGAGGCGGUGACGCAAAUUGAGGUGAAGACAUCAGCGGUGGCGCUAGGCAGAGUUUUCUUUUCUGUUUGACCUGUGAGAUGCACGGUGUGGAAUCCGAUUAUCGGGAGAAACACGCGCCGAAGGGCAGAGCGUCGGGGCGUCCCCGGCGUCUAGCACGCCACCGAUGGUCCUUGAAAAUUCAUCUGCAAUAUAAUUUCACGCCGUGGCGUACCGAUAACCGCAUCAGGUCCCCAAGGUGAACAGCCUCUGCUCAAUAUGAACAAUGCAGGUAAGGGAAGUCGGCA